AUAAAUAAAUAAAGGAAAGUCCCACCUAGAGAUAACAAAAUAUGCAUUGAAAUCAUUCAAGAAAACAAACAAAUCAUGUUUGAGAUAGAGUUUAUCAGCAUCAAACCAUUUUAAGCUUUGUUUUUAUUACUUUUAAAACUAUAAUUAUGGAAAACUAUGUAUCCCCCCUCCUCCUUUUCUAGUGACUAUGCAUAGUUUUGAAACCUAGACCAGCCCAGCCAGUUCAAAUGGAAAAAUCAGGAAUCGAGCCUACACAGUAAUUAUUAGUUAAUGACAAGUGGCAACCAUUUACAUGACGUUUCGCACGCAAUGGUGAUAUUUACUUCUCCAAAAGAUAACUCUGAACCCAUGUUUUGGACAUUAUCGAUGUCUUUGGAUAGUCAAUUUUGGGGAACCACUAUUUCUAAAAUUAAGUAAUCUUAGUUGGAGUUUAAGGAUAAAUUAGACAAGUUGAUUGAAUAUUAAAAGGACAUAUGUUUUGUAUAUAAGCUAAUAUACUAAAAAAAUUUAUAGAAAAUUUAUUUAUUAAUUUAGUAUGCCAAUAUUAAAUUAAUUCAUUUAUAUAUUAAUAUUAUUAUUAAUUUAUAAAAGAUUAU
RNAcentral lists this unclassified non-coding RNA (596 nucleotides) under Hevea brasiliensis (rubber tree). Lineage: Eukaryota; Viridiplantae; Streptophyta; Magnoliopsida; Malpighiales; Euphorbiaceae. The record is from RNAcentral.